UGGUAGACUCGUGGCACCGGGAGUAUAAAGGGCCAUCAUGGUGCCAUUGCUGCGGCAGAACUCGCUGGUCGGAUCCACGUCAAAACAUCUCUAUUUUGACGGUUCGUUUGCUGUUGGCGCACCGGUUCUGUCGACUCGUUAAGAUGCGUCCAGAUUACCUGUUCUUCGUGGCGUCUGCUGUGGUUGCCAUGGUGAUCGCAGACGCAGUGGCAGACACAGAGAGAUAUCAAGAUGUCGACCCUCCACAUAAGACGCCAGAGAGAAGAGGAAUUGAAGAUAAAGAAGGAGGAGGAGGAAUUGGAGAUAACGGAGGAGGAGGAGGAAUCGGAGAUAA
Non-coding RNA from Penaeus vannamei (Pacific white shrimp), 334 nucleotides. NCBI's taxonomy places the organism in Eukaryota, Metazoa, Arthropoda, Malacostraca, Decapoda, Penaeidae. The record is from RefSeq and is a predicted model, not a curated record.